UACGGGGGAGCAAGCGUUGUUCGGAUUUACUGGGCGUAAAGGGCGCGUAGGCGGUCAGCACAAGUCAGUUGUGAAAUCUCCGGGCUUAACUCGGAAAGGUCAACUGAUACUGUGCGACUAGAGUGACGGGAAGGGCAACUGGAAUUCUCGGUGUAGCGGUGAAAUGCGUAGAUAUCGAGAGGAACACCUGCGGCGAAGGCGGGUUGCUGGGCCGACACUGACGCUGAUGCGCGAAAGCCAGGGAGCGAACGGG
This 253-nucleotide ribosomal RNA is filed under the name uncultured bacterium. RNAcentral describes it as "partial 16S ribosomal RNA". It matches the Rfam family "Bacterial small subunit ribosomal RNA", at positions 524 to 776 of the family's 1533-position model. The record is from RNAcentral.